ACUCCCAGAUAUUACUAAUAUAGAAAUUAAAUAGCUUCUGUAUAUGACAAUGUAAACAAGUCGCACGAAAUUUUGGUUUCCCAGUGCAUAUAAAGUUAUGUUUACACAAUACUGUAGUCUAUUAGAGUGCAAUAGCAUUAUGUCUAAAGAAACAUUGCGAGAAUUACCAAAAUGUGACACAGAGACAAAAUGAACACAUGCUAUUGGAAAAAUGGCGGCGAUAGACCUGCUCGAUGCAGGGUUGCCAUAAAUCUUCAAUUUGUAAAUUACGCAACGUCUAGAGAUGUGAUGAAGGGGGAUUGAUGGCGUCAGAGUGGUGUGGCGUGGCCGUACGUUUGUUCUUUUGGUGUGGUUAAUAGUUAAAAGCUGGAUUUUUGUGUUCAGUAGAUUAUUCAAUGUGUUUCGACCAUAAUCAGUGGCGUUCGGCGAUACCUGGGUAAGUG
Non-coding RNA from Zootermopsis nevadensis, 443 nucleotides. The record is from RefSeq and is a predicted model, not a curated record. Lineage: Eukaryota; Metazoa; Arthropoda; Insecta; Blattodea; Termopsidae.